This 942-nucleotide ribosomal RNA is filed under the name Triticum aestivum (bread wheat). RNAcentral's name for it is "partial small subunit ribosomal RNA". Lineage: Eukaryota; Viridiplantae; Streptophyta; Magnoliopsida; Poales; Poaceae. The record is from RNAcentral.
AUGGAAUGGCAAGAGGUCGGCGUCGGCGGCGUCCUCAUCUAUGACACCAAGACGGCGGCGCAGGUCGUCUCGCCUUACCUCCCGAAAAGCCUCCUUGACGGCUGCGGCUGCACGGCAGCCAUUACAGUCGGCAACAGGCUGUAUUUGUUCGAGUCAUGUGGGUUUGAGAGAUAUUAUAAGUACGUCGGCCACGGCAAAACUAUUUUUGCAUCGGGCUUGCACUGCCUCACCGCCCGUGCAGCCGGAGGAGACGACGACAAGCUCUGGAAUUGGCAGCCGGUGUCCGCUUCGUCGCAGUGGCGUUGGAGUAGCGGUGAGAAUCUUCUGAUGCUCCCCUUCGACGCCGACAACAUCUUGGCGCAUGCGGUGCAUGCCCCGCUAGGAGCGGCCCCGCACGACCACCAGAUCUUGGUGUCUGCUUGGGACGUGAGCAAGACCUACAAGACCUUCUCUUUCAGCACCACGAGUCAUGAGUGGACAUGCCUCGGCGACUGGCGGCUGCCCGUCGUCGGCCACGCCUACUACGACCAUGGUCUCGACGCGUGGGUUGGUCUGGAUGCCGUCGAUGAUGGCUACCUCUGCGCCGGCAAUGUCUUGAGUGCUCCCUCAGAGUGGAAGGACGGCAGGGAGAAGCUGUUCUGUCUCGAGGAGGACGCCGAGGCUGGCUGGAGCCACAUCGACACCAAGCUCGUGCCCAUGUCAUCUCCCGAAGGCGGCGGUAGCGAGUACUGUCUCAUGGAGCGUCUGAGACCCAAGGUGAACGACCAAGACAAGUGCUUGGUUCAGUUGGUUGACGCCGAAACCUGUCUGCUCCGGCUGACCUCUUUUUGUGUGGAGCGUGGCGAGGAAGGUGAGCCCGUGGUCACGGCUCGCCGGCGCGCUCGCUCUUACAGCGUGUCUAGGUACAAUAAAUUUUUUGAAGCUCAAGCAUUUUGGAUGUAG